Molecule: non-coding RNA, 94 nt
Organism: Mycena polygramma
Lineage: Eukaryota; Fungi; Basidiomycota; Agaricomycetes; Agaricales; Mycenaceae
Source: the annotation of a GenBank genome assembly
GACUCGAUGGCGUAGUGGUAGCGCCCCGGCCGCAACUACGCACGAGGACUGAACAUUUCUGCCGAGGACGUCGGUUCGAACCCGGCUCGAGUCU